Molecule: unclassified non-coding RNA, 320 nt
Filed under: plant metagenome
Description: partial contains 5.8S ribosomal RNA, internal transcribed spacer 2, and large subunit ribosomal RNA
Rfam family: 5.8S ribosomal RNA (bases 1-105)
Source: RNAcentral
GAAAUGCGAUAAGUAAUGUGAAUUGCAGAAUUCAGUGAAUCAUCGGAUCUUUGAACGCACAUUGCGCCCGCCAGUAUUCUGGCGGGCAUGCCUGUUCGAGCGUCAUUACAACCCUCAGGCCCCCGGGCCUGGCGUUGGGGAUCGGCGGAAGCCCCCUGCGGGCACAACGCCGUCCCCCAAAUACAGUGGCGGUCCCGCCGCAGCUUCCAUUGCGUAGUAGCUAACACCUCGCAACUGGAGAGCGGCGCGGCCACGCCGUAAAACACCCAACUUCUGAAUGUUGACCUCGAAUCAGGUAGGAAUACCCGCUGAACUUAAGC